AGGAAUCUAAGUUUAAUAAGGUAGAAUGUCGGACUGUUUAUCCGAAGAUUGAGGUUCGAAUCCCCCUGGCCUA
RNAcentral lists this transfer RNA (73 nucleotides) under Methanobrevibacter millerae. RNAcentral describes it as "tRNA_Pseudo_GTT". The stretch from base 10 to 66 matches the Rfam family "tRNA", at positions 9 to 63 of the family's 71-position model. From Rfam's summary of the family: Transfer RNA (tRNA) molecules are approximately 80 nucleotides in length. Their secondary structure includes four short double-helical elements and three loops (D, anti-codon, and T loops). Lineage: Archaea; Methanobacteriati; Methanobacteriota; Methanobacteria; Methanobacteriales; Methanobacteriaceae. The record is from RNAcentral.